AUGAAACCCACGAGUUACAAUAUUGUAGCACUUCCCUUAGCUUCCGUCUCCUCUUUUCCUGCCCACGCUAGCUGCACCAUGAACGAUGAGAUGGUUGACGUUACGAGUUCGAGCGCCGAAGGCGAUCUGCAGCAGUGGGCGACUGGGUGGGGUAUUGGGCGCGAGGCGGCCAAGCUUAACCAUGUCCGGCGACACCUCAAUUCGGUGCUCACCGAGGCGGAGGGGAAGGAGAUCCAUAACGCGCAGCUGGCGCGAUCUCUCAAGGAAGCCCGUCAUAUGGCUUCGCACGGCGAGGACCUCUGGAGCGGGCUGGACUACUACCGCAUCCAGGAACACCACCACGACGGCGCGGAAGGUCGUCGGGUGGAUGGAUGGCAUGGGGGAGAAGAGCCUCAAGAUCUCUUGGCUGAGGAAGGUGGGGAAUCGGGGACCGCAGUUGUCCACGACAUGCAACAGGUUGCCAAAGACACCACAGAAGAACAUUCAUCUUCAGCACUGGCUGCUCUUCAAAUUGUGCCCUAUGCCAAUGUUUCCAACCCAAUAGUCCCGUCCACCAGCAGCAACACUCGCCCGGAAUGGCAUCUUGGCGUAUCACGUGAGAUAGAUGAACACGUUAAGGCCUGCAUCAGGAUGACCAGCAAUCUGCAAGAGGCCCUUGUGUUAGAACAUCUGGAUGACCGUUAUGUUAUUGCGCAGAGCACAGGGGCGACUGAUCCUCGGGAGACGUCAUCUUGUCCCACCAAACCCAAAGUUUAUGGUAGGGACCAAGAUCGGGACCUUGUAAUAAGUAAGUUAACAAGCAAGGAAUCUGCUGCUGAGAAAAACCUCUCCGUCCUUGCCAUAAUCGGUUACGGAGGAAUUGGGAAGACUACCCUGGCUAAUGUGGUUUUCAAUGACUCUGCUGUGUCAAAUCAUUUUGACGCGCGGUUAUGGGUCUAUGUUUCUGGCUAUUUUGACCAAGCUAAGAUUAUGCACAGAAUGCUCGAGUCCUUGACUGGGGACGACAGGCAUGAAAACAUCAAGGGUUUGAAGGAGCUGCAGGGCACCCUUGAAUCUGCACUGAAAUCAAAAAGGGUGCUACUUGUGUUGGAUGACAUGUGGGAAGAUAGGCAACAGCAAAAAUGGGAUGAGCUGCUAACUCCACUGCUUUCCAGUGAUGUUCCGGGGAAUAAAAUUCUCGUGACAACUCGAAAGCCAUCUGUUGCAAAAUUGAUUAAAGCUACAGAUCAGAUUAGUCUGAAUGGUAUAAAUGAAGACGACUUCUGGGAUUUUUUUAAAGAAUGUGCCUUUGGAGAUGAGAACUACAAAGUUGAACCAAGGCUGAAGAAAAUUGGAAAGGACAUACUUGUCCAGUUAAAAGGUAAUCCUUUAGCAGCAAAAAGUGUUGCCAAAUUAUUGAGAAAGAAUCAUACUGUUGAUUUCUGGAGGAGAAUUCUGAAAGAUAGUGAAUGGAAACAACAAGCAGAUGACUACGAUAUCAUGCCGGCCCUGAUGAUCAGCUACAAAUAUUUACCGGUGCACCUCCAGCGGUGCUUCUCAUACUGUGCUGUUUUCCCAAAGUAUUAUAAGUAUGAGAAAGAAUGUUUGGUCAAUAUGUGGAUAGCCCAAGGUUUGAUAUGUUCCACUGACAACAUGCAUAAACGAACGGAGGACAUUGGAAUUGAAUUUUUCAGUGACCUAGUUGAAUGGGGAUUUCUUCAAAAGGAAUUUGAACUUAUGACCACACAUAUCAUGCAUGAUCUCAUUCAUGAUUUGGCACAGAAGGUUUCAUCUCAUGAAACCUUCACCAUAGGGGACACUGAGUCUAGAAAGGCACCACAGCUUGUUCGUCAUGUCAGUAUAAUUGCUGAGUGGGUGUAUAAGACAGAAAUAGAUGGCACCGUGCAUCCUAAUGAGACUUUCCUCCGUGGAUUUUUUAAAUCAUUUGGUGAGCUGCAACAAACUAGUAGUAACUUGAGCACAUUGUUGCUGUUUGGUCCACAUGACUUUGAAUUUGCACACUCAUUCCGCCAAGAAUUCACUGAGGUGAAGUCAGUCCGUGUGUUGAAAUUAGACAUGGUGCUCUCUGAUCUGGAUUUAAUGAUCGGAAACAUUUCCUCAUUUAUUAAUCUUCGCUAUCUGGAGUUGGGCUGCUUUUAUAAGGGCCCCAGGUUGGAACUGCCAGAGGCUAUAUGUGUGCUUUAUCAUUUGGAAGUACUUGAUAUAAAGAAAAACUGGGGAAAUAGCACAGUUUUACCAAGAGACAUGAACAAGUUUGUUAAGUUACGCCAUUUUAUUGCCAGGGAUGAGUUGCAUGCAAAAAUAGCGGGUGUUGGGGAGAUGGUUUCCCUUCAAGAGCUCAAGGCAUUUGAUGUCCGAAAGGCAAGUGAGUUCAGCAUAAUGCAGUUCAGAAGAUUGAAUCAGCUCAGAGGAUCAAUUAGGAUUUGCAAUCUUGGUGAUGUAGGAAGCAAAGACGAGGCCAUCAACGCAAGAAUCUCUGAGAAGGUCCACCUCACUGGUUUGCAUUUAUCGUGGAACACUGUGUCUGAGGAUAGAGUUCAUACUGAAAGUAAUGUUGAUAUCCUCGAGGAUCUGAAACCACAUGCCGGACUUAUAGAUCUGGGAAUCAUAGCAUACCGUCAUCCUGUACCUUCAUGGCUCAGCAACAAUAUUCACCUCACCUCAUUGCGGUCACUUCAUCUGGAUAGCUGCUCUUACUGGAAAACGAUUCCAACACCCCACCAAUUGCCUCUGCUCCGUGAGUUGAGGUUGAGUAAUAUGGUUCGUGUUUCCAAAAUAGAGAUUGGCUGUUUGGAGAUAUUGGAACUACACACUUUGCACCGUUUAACACAGUGCAUAGUUUUGGACAAGGAGCAGUUAUCUGUGAAUCUGCGAGUUCUUGAGAUAGAUGACUGCAUUAGAUUGAAGGAAUUCCCCUUGCUGUCUAUCUCUAAAGAUACGCUAAUAAGUGAUUGUCAGUUUACUCAUCUUCACAGGCUUUGGGUUCGCGGUUGCUUUGUUCACAUGAGCAUCUCACAACUUCUGCACAUGGAUUCUUUAUUGUAUAUAGAUUUGUUCUUGAGGCCAAGUUUGGAGCAAUUUCGACUUGUACCGAUUGGCCAAUCAGAUGGGCUGCGCAUGGAAAUCAAAGGAACUGCGGAAGUUAAGAGCAAAGAUGAAAAAUUGUUCCCAUUCAACAAACUCAGGGACUUGGAGGAGCUUGAAAUAACAGAUUAUCCAGGUCUGAUGUGCCUGCCAUGGGAAGGCCUUCAAAAGUUGGCAUCAUUGAAAAAAUUUAAGAUGAGUAACUUCGGCAAACUAUUUUCUUGCAUAUCUGGGCUCUAUCUGCCUCCAUCAGUCCAAGAACUUGAGUUUAAUCGGUGCAACAUCACAAUGAAACAACUGUCGCAUGUCCUGCUGAGCCUUCCGUUGCUCAAGAAAUUCAGUUUAACUAGUUGUGAAGAGGUGACAUCUUUACCUAUAGGUCUGUUUACAGAUGAACACAACCAAACAGUGGAAGGCUCCUGGCAUAUCCCUCCCAGCUUCUUGGCGACUCUGGAAAGCUUGGAGAUCUCAUUCAGAAUGAGAGCGCAUGCCAAAGAAAGCUCAGUGAUGCAAUUUUGGAGCAAGCAAUGCUUGGGGAAGUUCACCUCUCUUAAGAAAGUUGUCAUUGAAUAUUGCCCUGCUCUCCUAUCUACUGUGAUUUCAGGAGGAAUGUCCCAUAUACCUCCAUCUUCUCUGGCAACACUCCGUGUGGAUUGCAUCACAGACCGCCGUCUGCAAUUAUCAGAACUCUCUUCCCUCACCGAUUUACAUGUCAUUGAUUGCUCAUCUUUGACAUGUGUCAACUUGGAUGGUUGCACUGCAUUACGAGAGCUGUAUAUUUCAGGAUGCGGCAUGUUAUCAUCGCUUGAAGGUAUGCAGUCAUGUGAGGCAUUGCGGCAGUUUAGCAUCUAUGAUUGCAAGGCGCUUCGUUCGCUCAGAGUAUCGCUCGGCAGCCUCGCAACACUGAGCAUAGAGAGCAAUCCCAAUUUGGCAUAUGUAGACCUGAAUUCUUGUACGGCGCUGCAGAAACUGUGCAUCAAAGGCUGCGCUACAACAGCGUCGUGGGAUGGUCUUAAAUCCCUUGGUGCUCUCGGGGACUUGAAAGUUGAAAAUUCUCCAGGCUUCACAAGGUCAUGGCAAUUAGCAUCGGCAGAAGUUGAGAGCAAGCAUAGCAGCUACUUCCCGCGAAGACUGCAAGUGCUUGAUAUUGAUGACAUUGGUGUCCUAUGUGUGCCCAUUUGCAGUCAGUUAACCUCUCUGAAGACACUCACCAUUCAUGGAUCUAUUUAUUGUCGGCGUGACUAUGGGGACGCUUUGACGGAUGACCAUGAGAGAGCACUGCUACUUGUCACCUCCUUGAGAGACCUCGAAUUUGAUCAGUUUAAGCAUCUCCGGUCACUGCCUGCAGGGCUUGAAUGCCUUACAACGCUGCAGAGGCUAACUGUUAGCAGAUGUGAACUUAUCACGUCCCUACCAGCGGGGGGUAUCCCGGCAUCGCUCAGGGACAUGGAAAUCCAUGGUUGCAGCGAAGAGCUAACUGCACAAUGCCGAGCAAUGUGCAGAGAUCGAAAGAUAUAUUUUGGCGUUGGUGCUUAUACCGUUGGCUCGAUAGAAACAGAUUAG
Molecule: ribosomal RNA, 4647 nt
Filed under: Triticum aestivum (bread wheat)
Lineage: Eukaryota; Viridiplantae; Streptophyta; Magnoliopsida; Poales; Poaceae
Description: partial small subunit ribosomal RNA
Source: RNAcentral